Molecule: RNA transcript, 973 nt
Organism: Zootermopsis nevadensis
Lineage: Eukaryota; Metazoa; Arthropoda; Insecta; Blattodea; Termopsidae
Source: RefSeq, a predicted model, not a curated record
AAAGUUUGGUUAGGUCAGAUUACGUUAAGUCAGGUCAAAUUAGGUUAGGUUGGGUUGUGUUAGAGUGUGAGAAAUAAAUGUUGACUAUCUCCCAAAGCUUCGAUUUAACACAAGUAUCAAAAAUGUCCAUAUUAUUGUUUUUGUUAUUUAUAUUGUGUUAAUAUUAUUCACAAUAUUAAUAAGAAUACUUACUUCGUAAUUGAAAAUCCCGCAUGUUAUCAUGUGAAAGGCCAAGCACUGAGUGAGACAAUGUUAUGUUAUCUUGAAGCAAUAAACAGGUGGUAAAUUGUUCGGUUAAGUUGCAAUAAUAGUGUAAGUAAUUAAAUAAUAGUGUGAUUUCAUAUUGUACUUUCCUGGAAAAACUUUCAAGUUAUUACAGGGUCUAGUAGUACUUCCGCUCCAUAUGAUCAUCAUAUCCGAUUUUGUACAAGCAAAAUCGAUUUCAUAACUGGUCCGCCAUUGUUAAAGGAGAGGUCAAACAGUUCUUGUUAGGAAAUUUUGCAUAAUUGCCAUCAGAAUGCUUCCAGUUCAGAAAAUGAUAAGAUUAGCCCCAUUAGUGAGCCGAAAUAUUAUACAGUCGAGGGGAGUUACCAGAGAGUCAACCGUCAUUUCUGUGCCCGCUAAAGUGAAAAUUUCAUCCGCGGAGAAGGUAGUCCAUGGUGUCUUGAUUGUAUUAGGUAUCUGCUUCACUCCUGCAUGGGUCUUGACACACCUGAAAGACUACCAAAGCCGUAAAGAGUAAUAGAGAAGAAACUUAGCAGUAUUUUUGUAAUGGUGCACAACACAUGAUCCCAGUACUGUCAUAAAUAUGCUUGUAGUGUGACUUAAAAUUAAUUACCACAUGCUGUAAUUAUACAUAUUGUUCUCAAUAGCAUUAUUUGAUUAAUUGGUUUAUAUUUUCAUCUGGAAUCACACAUCUGGGAAUGGAACUGCAUGUACACAUAAUAAAUUUGUUAAUAAAUAAGUUACAUUA